AGCGAACGCUGGCGGCAGGCCUAACACAUGCAAGUCGAACGAACCUUUCGGGGUUAGUGGCGGACGGGUGAGUAACACGUGGGAACGUGCCUUUAGGUUCGGAAUAACUCAGGGAAACUUGUGCUAAUACCGAAUGUGCCCUUCGGGGGAAAGAUUUAUCGCCUUUAGAGCGGCCCGCGUCUGAUUAGCUAGUUGGUUGAGGUAAUGGCUCACCAAGGCGACGAUCAGUAGCUGGUCUGAGAGGAUGAUCAGCCACAUUGGGACUGAGACACGGCCCAAACUCCUACGGGAGGCAGCAGUGGGGAAUCUUGCGCAAUGGGCGAAAGCCUGACGCAGCCAUGCCGCGUGAAUGAUGAAGGUCUUAGGAUUGUAAAAUUCUUUCACCGGGGAUGAUAAUGACGGUACCCGGAGAAGAAGCCCCGGCUAACUUCGUG
RNAcentral lists this ribosomal RNA (434 nucleotides) under uncultured bacterium. RNAcentral's name for it is "partial 16S ribosomal RNA". It matches the Rfam family "Bacterial small subunit ribosomal RNA", at positions 29 to 507 of the family's 1533-position model. The record is from RNAcentral.